CGGAGUAUGGCGCAGUUUGGCAGCGUGACACCUCGGGAUGGUGGAAGGCACAGGUUCGAACCCUGUUACUCCGA
RNAcentral lists this transfer RNA (74 nucleotides) under Callitris rhomboidea. RNAcentral's name for it is "tRNA-Pro". It matches the Rfam family "tRNA". Rfam says of the family: Transfer RNA (tRNA) molecules are approximately 80 nucleotides in length. Their secondary structure includes four short double-helical elements and three loops (D, anti-codon, and T loops). The record is from RNAcentral. Lineage: Eukaryota; Viridiplantae; Streptophyta; Pinopsida; Cupressales; Cupressaceae.